This 95-nucleotide Y RNA is filed under the name Piliocolobus tephrosceles (Ugandan red Colobus). Its description in RNAcentral is "Y RNA (ENSPTEG00000036056.1)". It matches the Rfam family "Y RNA". From Rfam's summary of the family: Y RNAs are components of the Ro ribonucleoprotein particle (Ro RNP), in association with Ro60 and La proteins. The Y RNAs and Ro60 and La proteins are well conserved, but the function of the Ro RNP is not known. The record is from Rfam by way of RNAcentral. Lineage: Eukaryota; Metazoa; Chordata; Mammalia; Primates; Cercopithecidae.
UGCUAGUCUGAUGGUAGUGGGUUAUCAGAACUUAUUACUUUAAUGUCACUAAAGUUGAUAUACAACCUCCCCACUGCUAAAUUUAGCUGGCUUAA